AUCCAGCUGACGAGUCCCAAAUAGAACGAAACGUGCAU
RNAcentral lists this non-coding RNA (38 nucleotides) under Schistosoma mansoni. Lineage: Eukaryota; Metazoa; Platyhelminthes; Trematoda; Strigeidida; Schistosomatidae. The record is from RNAcentral.